This 468-nucleotide ribosomal RNA is filed under the name uncultured bacterium. RNAcentral's name for it is "partial 16S ribosomal RNA". It matches the Rfam family "Bacterial small subunit ribosomal RNA", at positions 28 to 507 of the family's 1533-position model. The record is from RNAcentral.
GACGAACGCUGGCGGCGUGCUUAACACAUGCAAGUCGAACGGAAAGUCCCUGCUUUUGUGGGGUGCUCGAGUGGCGAACGGGUGAGUAACACGUGAGUAAGCUGCCCUUGACUUUGGGAUAACUUCAGGAAACUGGGGCUAAUACCGGAUAGGAGCUCAUGCUGCAUGGUGGGGCUUGGUAAGUUUCGGCGGUUGGGGAUGGACUCGCGGCUUAUCAGCUUGUUGGUGGGGUAGUGGAUUAGCAAGGUUAUGACGGGUAGCCGGCCUGAGAGGGUGACCGGCCACAUUCGGACUGGGAUACGGCCCAGACUACUACGGGAGGGAGGGAUGGGGAACUUUACACAGUAGGCGGAAGGAUGGUGCAACAACGCCGCGUCCGGGAUGUCAGCCUUCGGGGAGGAAACCACUUUCGCCUGUAACGUAGCGAGAGUGACGGUAAUGUGUCAAGAAGCACCGGCUAACUACGUG